RNAcentral lists this long non-coding RNA (22917 nucleotides) under Ananas comosus (pineapple). RNAcentral's name for it is "long non-coding RNA (ACOM_LNC000274)". Lineage: Eukaryota; Viridiplantae; Streptophyta; Magnoliopsida; Poales; Bromeliaceae. The record is from RNAcentral.
UAUUGAAAACUUUAUUACAAUUUAUAAUUUUAUUAGCUAUUAGUUAUUAUUUUAUUUUCUAAACUUCUUUUCUGAUUAAAUUACUAAAUUCCAGAAAAUUAAAAGCUAAGGACUCUAAAUCAAAAAGUUUGAAGUGUUUAUUUUUUUAGAGAAUGAUAGUAAGUUGCGCGUUUUAUUCUUUUAUUUUAAAAAAUUAUUUCAAUUAAAAAUGUAAAGAAUAUCGAACUUAAAAUUUCAUGUACUGACCAUAUAACCCUUAGCAAUUUUGUCGGGCACUGCCGGACAAAAAUAUUGAAGCCGAGAAGCGUAUUUUGAUUCUCGAAAAGUAUGAAAAAAAAUUAUAACUCUGAUAAUGUGCUAUCUAUUACUUUUGUUUCUACCAGUAAAUAAUGAUAGUUUAAUUUUGUCUUUAAUUAAUCUCUCGAACUUAGCGACCGUCCAAAAUAGCAUAUUUGAUUAAAAAGUUAGUUCUAUUAUACUUUAUAUAUAUGUAAAACUAUUCUUAAUCCUGACAGCAUUCUAGCCAGUGACAGUUUUCUGGCUAAAACAUAUCUUUAAUCUGUCUAAUUUACAAAAAAAAUAUAAUUUUCUUAAAAUUUUAAAUUUAAUGAAAGGUCUUCUUUUCAUAUUUUUAAUUCUGUAGACGAAAACUAUUGAAGAAAGCAUUUUCCAUAAUAUUUUUUAAAAAUUUUAUUUUUAUAAUUUUAUGAGGAACCAACCACCCGUUUCAAAAAUUACAAAUCCCAAACUGAAAAGUUAAAAUGGUCAAAGUGAAACCCUGAAAAGAUUCAGGGGCCAGCGGUGAAAUUUGACCCGCAUCUUUACCAAAAUUUAAUUUUACUUACAAAAACUUCAAAUACCAUCCCAAGUAGUUUAUACUUUUUCACUUUAGUAUUCUGGGGUUUAAAGUUUACCAAUUUAGUAUCACGUGGUUUCAUUUUUUUUUUUUUAUUAUUCAUUUCAUUAAUUUUUUUCGUUAAAUCAGUGACAAAAUUAAAAAUAAAAAAUAUACUCAAGUGAAUAUUUAAUAAACUCUGAAAUUUUUUAUAUAUAAUUUAACGAAAUAUUAACGGAGAAUCUGACGAAAAGAUAAAAAAGAAAUUACAGGAUACCAACUUGAUCCACUUUAAAUUAUAGGGUACUAAAAUAAGAAAGUACAAAACUAUAGGGGUGAUAUUUGAAUUUUACCCUUUAUUUUAUUCUAUUUUACUUCAUUUUACACCUUCCCUGCGACCUUCAUUACGGGGGCCAAAAAAGCGAGCAAGCGAAGCGAAGCGAAAGACGAUGGUCAAAACGGAGCACUGGAGAGCGCGGAGGCUCCGUUCCCUUCGUUAAAUGCUUAAAUAAAGUAAACACUCCGCGAACCCUAGAUUUCGACCCCUCCCCAUUCACAUAUCCCCCGAUCCCUCGAUCGCUCAAUCCCAUCCCCAAUCCCUCUCUCUCUCUCCUAUCUCUCUCUUCGCGGAUCCCUUCCUCUCCACCGUCGCCAUGGGACUCUGGGAAGCUUUCCUCAACUGGCUCCGAAGGUGAGGGGUCUUCUUUGCUGCUGAUCUUUUUGUUUUGAUUCGAGUUCGUGUUGUAGCGUUGUUUGGGUUGGUAAGGAUGCGUUUGAUGUUGUAAAUUGGGGGGGAGACAGGUGGGGAAUUGGGGUUUGGGACCAGAUUAUGUGUGUGUUGUUUCAUGGAUUUGAUGCAAGAUUGCGGCUUUUCCGUGGUGUUGACUUGCGCCGGUUGUUGUCGAUGGUGCUGCAGUUGGUUUUAAGUUGGUCAAAUUUUGAAUUUUGGGUUGAGUCAGCUGUGAUCUUUCUGUGGUAAAUGGGCGAUGAUUUCACAAAUCGGAAAUUGUUAGAUUUGUGUGCUAGUGAUUCGGUUUUGUAUGAGGAUAUGGAUCAGAUAAGGGCACUUUUUUUUUGUUUUGUUUUGUAAUUUUACUAAAUCAAUGCCUGUUGGGGUACUAAUGUUGUAUUUGAAUAAUUAUCUUUCAAAUGCAGCCUCUUUUUCAAGCAAGAGAUGGAACUCUCAUUAAUUGGGCUUCAAAAUGCUGGGAAAACUUCCCUUGUGAAUGUCAUUGCGGUAUGUUCAGAUGAUGUUUGCGCACGACUCUGAUCACAGUCAUGAUGUAUUCUGACAAUUUUCUUUGUUUUUGUUAUAUUCUCUGUAGACUGGUGGGUAUAGUGAGGACAUGAUUCCUACUGUGAGUGUGUUCGCCCUCGUCCUUUUUAUUUAUUUAUUUAUUUUUGUUUUCUGUUUCUUUAUGUAGUAGUUGUAAAGCUCUAAUAUAGUUUUAUCAAUUUGCAGGUUGGAUUCAAUAUGAGGAAGGUGACGAAGGGGAAUGUUACAAUAAAGUUGUGGGAUCUUGGAGGACAGCCUAGAUUUCGCAGUAUGUGGGAGAGAUAUUGCCGCGCAGUCUCUGCAAUCGUGUAUGUGCGCUUAUCUUUUAGAUAUCUGUUAUGAUUUAUUUGCGGAAAGAUAUCAAUUGGUAGAACCCUUGAUAAAAGAAAGAAGUUAGAUGAUAUGCUGCUCAUAAUUUUUUGUUACUUGAAACUUAGAUAUGCAUCGUACAUCCUUUCUUGUUAAUGCUAUAAAAAUCUGCUGCUAGUUGACAGCCAUUGGAAAAACUGAACAUUCUGUCUCUCGAGAGUCUCCAUGUUAUUGCUUUUAUUGUUUAAUCCUUGAUAAGUUCAGAAUCAGCAUAUACCUACUGAUGCCCUGUAUAUAGUGCAUCAUUUGCAUGUUUUUUGUGUUUUCGGUCCUGUAUAUUUCUCCCUUUUCUCUUACACUGUGUAACAUGAUGUUUAUAUUGCAAAGAUGCUAUGAUGGAGGGGUACUUCAUUUUAGCUGCUUGCCUGUUGCUUUUAUGGUACAUGUUGGAAACUUCAUGAGGGUUUCCCACAUUUUGUAAAUGUAGAUCAAAUAUCCGUAAACUUGAGGGUUAAAUGAAGGAUUUGAUCAGAUACUUGCGAGAUAUGGGACGAAGUUCUUUUGGGCUAAUUCAUGACAGAACUAUUCUUAAGUGGAUUUAGGACGAAGAUAUGAAGUGAGCGAAGAAGAAAGAAAUUGUUUAGUCGAUAGAUUUUAGGAUAUGGUUCUCUAUCUUUCUUUGUAAUUUGUACAUAAAGGGGAGGAAAAAGAAGCUGAUAGAUAACUUGAAAAUGUGAUCGAGUCAACCAAGUAUUCAGUUUAACAGUCAAUGACCAGUUUUUACUUUUCUCAAAUCGGAGUAAAUUCAACUGGUACUGAAAAUUAGUACCCGUUUCUCUUAAGAUCAAAUAGCUAUAUUACCAAUUUGAUUUUCUUGUAUUUCUGGUCAUUUUUCAUCAAUUACUUUUGUGUUUGCCAGCCAAGAAUUACUUCUCUAACUUAACCGUAUCCUUUCCAACAACAAAAGUUUCAAUACUGAAAAGAUGCCAUUUAUCAAAAUCAGCUUUUGGUUCAGAGGCUUUCGUCUUUAGGUCUUCCAUUGAGCAGUCAUGAGAGACACAAAAAUUGCAACAAAGCCCAAAUGUAGUCAUAAGAGAAUGACAAAAAUUGCUUACUUGGUAAUUUUUUGGUGAUCAUAUUAAUGUUCCCAUUCAUUUUAGUCGGGAAGUCUCAUGCAAAAGUAAUGAUUGCAAUGAAAUGGAAAGGUUAGAAAAUAGAAACCCAAUUGUACAAUUUUAAUGUUGCGGAGUGAACUGAGAGCACACUGAUACGGCCAAGGUAUCCUGGUGCAAUUUACUCUUUCUUGCUGCCUUUGGUUUUUCCCCAAUUUGUUGUUUUCCAUCACUUUAAUUGUUUUGUGCCCUACUCUUGUUCUGUGUAAUAUAUUUUCUGACCAACAUUCCUGUCUGAUUAUAUGGGAAAAGGGGCACUUUUCCCAAACUAGUCAUCAUCUUAAAUUUUGGCUAAUAUGGUAAUUCCACUACAAACCUCAUAAAUAUUUGGAACUAAUGGAACCUUGUCAAUAUGCUUUAAAAAUUGCUGAGUAAAGCCUACUUAGCUUAGUUCUGCUGAGUUGUAUCUUUUGGUCUGGUUUGAUCUCUUUUCUAGGAGUAGGGCUUGGUUAUAAAAAGGUUCGUAACCAUCUGGUGGUGAACUGGAUUGAGUUACGGAGAUAUAUCAUAAUAAAUUAAUAAUACUUUUAGCUUAAUUUGGAAACCACAGUGAAGCAAUUGUCACAGUUAUUUCAUAAAUUCGCACCUGCUGAUUCAUUCUUAAUAUGUCAACUAGCUACGUAUCUCAAUCCUUAGGCCAGCUUUUGUUUCGGCAUUCUGUUGCAGUUAGGUUAGAAAAGAAAAGGGUCAAAUAACACCUUUACAAGGUAAUAGAAAACAUUGUGGUUGACAGUGGAAACAGCCUCAAUACCAUUUUUCUUGUUAUUUGUGCUUUUAUCUGUCAUUUUGUUGGCUUAGACCUGAUAUAAACAAUUACAAUCCUAUACGUUUGCAGGUAUGUUGUUGAUGCAGCUGAUCAUGAAAACUUGCACAUCUCGAAAAGUGAACUUCAUGACCUUCUAAGCAAACCAUCAUUGAGCGGGAUUCCAUUGCUAGUCCUGGGGAAUAAGAUUGACAAGCCUGAAGCUCUCUCGAAGCAGGCUUUGACAGAUGAAAUGUAAAGUCCCUUCCUUUCUACCUUAAGUUUGCAAGUUUCUGUCAUGAGAAAAAAAGAAACCUUUACAUUUAUAUCCAUGCAAAAAAUAUCUAUUAACAUCUAAAUCCCGGAAAAAUUUGGAUUUUAUUAUAUGCACAUUCAACACCAAGUUUCUUACAUAUAACCCUUUUCAUUUACAAAUUAUCUGAUAUAAAGGUUUUUCCACCCUCUUUAAAGAUUUUUAUCUGAUAUAAUUCUAUUCUAAAGACAGAUUUAUGGAACCUUUUAUUUCAGGCAUAAAUGUUUCUUUUAUAAAUGUUCAUAGAGCUAGAAGAGACAUUAAAUUGUCGCUUGUAAGGCUAGUGAUAGCAUACUCUUUUACUCUUCUAAUUGUAUAAAAUACUGCUGUUCCUAAACUUAAACAAAAAAAAAAAAUCAGAAACUAAAUAGUAGUUUACAAGAUUGUGUGGACUAGAAAGAAUACAAAAUGUUUGAAUUAUGAAAAGUGUAGAGUUACAAACUAUUUUCCAAGAGGAGUAAAUACUUUGACUCGCUAGAUAUUACUUUUAGAAGAGGAGAUGUAUACAUGAUUGGUUGGUGGAUGCAUAUCUUUGACAUUUAGUCUUAGGCAUAUAGCCAUACAUUUUGUUAUGUAGAGGGCACAUGCAGCGAUUGGGCAUUAAGGUAUUAGAUUACUUUUUACUUUUGCAAGAUACUUCACUUUCAAUGGGUUUAUUAGAGAAUCCAAAUUUGGCAUGGGAAUAUAUGUAAAAAGAUAACUUUGCAGGGGUAUAUUUGUAACCCCCUUUCCUCCUGAAAACUGAUGGAAAACAGAAAAGAAAUUCAGUUCAUGUCAUGGUAGAGCUUUUCUCGUAGUUAUUGAUUUAGCUGCAAUUACAGGGGUUUAAAGUCUAUCACCAAUAGGGAAGUAUGCUGCUUCAUGAUAUCAUGCAAGAACUCGACCAACAUUGAUUCCGUCAUAGAUUGGCUUGUGAAGCACUCGAAGACGAAGAAAUGAGGAUUUAGGCCUUCUGCUGCUGCUGCUGCUGCUGCUGCUGCUGCUGCUGCUUUGUUUUCUCGAGUUGUCGUUAUUCUAUGUGGAUAUUGAGGUUGUAUUUUGUGGUUGUUAGUGGUUGAGUAUUGCUCUUUUAUUUAUUAGAUGGGGAUUCUGAUUUUUAUGUUACCUCCUAACAGGAGAGAGGGGUGAUCUGUUCUGUGGGUAAUCUAUGCUUAAAGGUGGGCUUUGUCAUGUUGAAAAACUCUGCUUACUUAUGGCCUUGUGCUUGAUUUACCUGUACUGAUUGGUGUGAAAAGUUUUUUUUUUUUUGUGGAUAUGUUCAAAUUACGCUGUAAAAAAUAUUGCAGUUUGUCUAAAACUAAGUCACUGUUGUGUAUGACAUGAAUUUUCCAAUCCUUAAAGAGAUUUUUUUUAAAAAAAAUCUUAUUAAAGGUGAUUAUAUACAGGACUUUCUUGGAUAAUCUAGUAUAGCAUAUUCACAGGUGUACAAGUGGCACUCUGAUGCUCAAAUAAGUUGGGCGUUCGUCGUGUCUGUAAUAUCCCAGACGACCCGCAACCACUGAUGAUGAAAUUGCCGGUAAAUUGCUCUGAGGUUGGAUGGCAGGAAGGAUGAUGGGUACCCGGAAUGAGGAAAUUGGGACGAGUAGAGUUUGGGGAGAUAGAGGUGAUGAGAUGAGGGGUAAGGUAGAGAAGAAGGGAGAAGGAGAAGAAGCUUCACUUGACUUAAAAGAGUCCUUGUCUUAGGGAAAUUAUUAUUGCUUCAAUUACGCUGAGAAACCACAGCCUUAUGCUCUCUCAAUCAGUCUAAUACUUGACUAGUUGAGAAUAGAAAUAUUAAAUCAACGGUCGUCAGAUGCUUGGUGCACGGAUGUGUAUUGAUGCUCAAAUGUAGGAAAUACUUUUGUUCUCUAAUAGUAAUGAAGGACGAUGAGUAAGUGAAACGUAAAGGUGUCCAAAAUAUCCGAUAUCCCAUACCCGAUCCGGACCCUACCCGGAUCCGAACCGGACCCGAACCGGACCCGAUAAAAAAUGAAUAGUAUACGGAUAAAAAAAAUUGCCCAUUAAAAUUUCGGGUAUAGGUCCGGAUAUUUUAUACCCAUACCCGAUUUGGGUCCGACCCGAACCUAACUUUUAAAUGGGUAGGGUCCGGAAUAGUUUUCAAAUCCGGACCCAGACCCGGACCCGAUGAAAUAUCCGAUAGUAAAUAAAAAAAAAUAAACUUUUGAAGUUGAAGGAUCAAUUUUAAUAUGACUUAUAGAUAAUGAGUCACUAUGUAUUUUCAUCCUAAUGAAACCCUAGCCGUCUCUUUUACUCAUUACUUUUUUCUAAUUUUUUUACUCUUUGUUUUCUACUCUUUUUUUUCAUUUCAUUUCCGCCAACAAUAUUUCAUUGUCAACAAUAUAGUUUAUUUAUUGACUAUUUAAUAAAGUUUAUAAAAAAAUAUAUUUAUACAGAUAUCCGUAUCCGAUUUAGACCCGAUCCAUAUCCGAUUUUGAACGGGUAGUAUACGGAUAGUCACUACCCAGACCCGCUCAAAUAGACCCGAUGAGUAUAUUAGAAACUUUAGUACCCAGACCCGGACCCGACCCGAAAUUAAAUGGGUAGGGUAUAUAUAUAUUUUUUGUAACCAUUUCUUUUUAGGGUAUGGGUACAAUAUAUUAAUUAUCCAGACCCGACCCGGUCCACGGACAUCUUUAGUGAAACGUUUUAAAAAUCUAAUGUUAAACAUCAAACUAUAAAUUUGAUGAGUUCAGGAACCAGUUUUGCUAUUUAACAUAUUCGAUGAAUGAAACCAAUAUCUUCCCAGAUAUCAGAAAUAUUGUGCUCAAGAAAAAUCAGCCAGAAAAUGCCGUCUAAUUAUUGAGGAAUUUAUAGUCUAGGCAAGUCAAAUGUUUCUACUGCAGCAGAAAUUAAAAUAAGAUCAUCAAAAAUAAGAUCCUUAUACCCAAAGGUAAAAGCCUGAAUUUUCUGCUACGCUGCAGGAAGAGUUGGCCGAAGAAGUUUUGAUUUCUCUCUUCUCAAAACUAGUUAGAUAGCACUUCACCCAACAGCACUAUAUCCAAAGGAUGCACAAAAACUAUAUCCAGCACUACAUCCAAAGGAUGCACAAGAACUAUAUCCAGCACUAUAUCCAAAGAAUGCCCAAGAACUAUAUCCAUGACCGACGGAAGAGCUCAAGAGUUGCACCCCAAAAGAACAUUACUCGAAAAGUAGUGAGCAAUAACAAUAACAGGAAAAUGCUGACAGCUCAAUAAGAAAGAAACAAAAGCAAUUCGAGUUUCCGAAAAAAGUAAUCAUUUGCCGAUGAACUCUAAAAAACAAUCAAAAGCAGCUAUUCAACGGCCAAAACUGCUCGAGGUCCACUCCAUAACAAAUGUUGCUUGGAUAACACAUAUCUUUUAAAAACAACCAAGAUCCAUUAAAUGAAAAUUUUAAUAUGAGUUUCCAACUUCCUUUAGGCUCCAACAAUUUCUUGCUCACCCUCCAAUGGGACAUCUUCCGCAGGUCUAUCCACUUUAACACCUACAUCCUCCUUGUAAUCACCGUGGACCUGAAGAUGUAAUAGAAAGUCACAUGAACCGAGAAAGCUGAAGCCCACAAUUGCAAAUAACUAAACAUAUAUAAAUGACUAAAUGAGUUAAUCAGAAAUUUAUUCUUGAUUUUAAUUCCAAUUUUAAUUAGUUUUUCUUUUCAAAAUUUAGUCCCUAAAGUUCGUUGAGCGCGCUAAGACUUUACCAUCAAAUAAAUAGCUAUGUCAGCAUCUCAUAAAAAACAAAACGAAUAGAAAACUGGGAUUUUUUACCAAAUUUCAACGAUGAUGACAUUGUAUCCUCUUCAGAUGAUAGACUAGCAAAAACAUUUAAUUGUUACGCAGGAAUCUGGAUUGCUUAAUUGAAUACAAAAGAAUGCAAUUAAUUUUCAGAACCAAUAUCAGGGAAUAAGUUUCCAGUUAACACUUACAAAAUAAAUUCAAUUCUUUAUUGAGUAAAAAUGAGAAAAGAUAAGAAUCUAUGAUAUAUGGGUUCAAGUUUUAAUUUGUGUCAAGCAUACCUCCAUGAGUUUCCCCAAAUCAAACUUAGGGGCCUUUAGGAUCUUGACCUUGCGGAUGAAGACAUUCUGUAGAGGGAAGAUGCUCGAAGUUGCUUUCUCAAUCUCCUUCCCAAUGACCUCAGGGAUAAAUUUCUGCACCAGGUCCUUAAGAUCACAGGAUGUAGCUUGGUUUACCAUAAUCUCUCUCAUUUUGCGGCGAAUCUAAGAAAAAAGAUGGAAAGAACUUGUAAAUAACUCAUUGGAAGCAAAUUAAACCUUUAAUUUGCAAAGCUAGAUGGGAUCAUUACCUGUCUAAUCUGACUGGAUUGAGCAUAACAAGUCCGCUUAACCUGGUUAGGGCGUCUCUUAGUGAAGGCGAUACAGAACAUUCUCAGAGCGUAGUUGUCGGUAGUCUUCACAUCAACAUGAGCCUCAAUGAGAGUCUGCCACUUCCUCACAAGAGAUCUGAGCUUGUCCGUUGUGAAGUCCAUGCCCUGAAAAGGAGAAGAGAGAAAAUGGUUGAAGGAAGAGAUUAAUACAAGAAAAACAAAAAGAAGAUGUAAAUUAUAUUCCAGCAAAUUAUCAGUCUACAUAUAUAUCCCUUGGAGGUGCAGUUCCUCACAAAAAUUUCUCUACAUGAAGUUGAGAAAUCAUUAAUUCAUGGUGUUGAGUUGGGUAUAAAUUAGAAUAAGUUUUAAGUAGGAACAGUUUGAACGUAAAAGAGUACAUAGGAAAGCAUUAGUUUCUAAAGGGCAUAUGAGAAAAUUCAGAUUUUGCGGUGACACAAAAGGUAAAUAGAUAAUUUUACAGGGGAAUAUAUGUGAACUGAAAAUAUCUCAAAGAACAUACCCAGAAGUUGGUGAGGACAUUCUUUCCUUGCACAUCCUCAGCACGAAGUCUAAUCUUUCUGUAAGCUUGGUCCUCGUCAUUCUGAAGGUCGGCCAAAGAGAUCUCAAAAACCCUGUGCUUGAGACCCUCGGAUGCAAUCUAAGAUUAAGGAAAGAAAUGGUUUAAAUAUGCGCUCAUGCACCCAAAAAAAAAAUCAAGCAAAAUGCGUGAAACACAACAACAGCUGUAAGAACAACCAUCCCUGUGAUAAUAAUUCAAUUAAAAGGAGAUAAAAGAGUGCAAAACAAGCACCCUUUCUCCACAAAUAGGCUACACUCAUCAAGAUCCUAUUUAGAAAAUUUACCAAUUACCUUGCAAAUCUAUAACGUCAACCAGAAAAUAAAUAUUCAAAAAAAAGCAAGACAAAUUCGCAAAAUGUGAAACGAUAAUAGAGUAGUUAUGUAGACAUGGAAAAAUUGAUACAGAAGCAACAGGAAUCUGAAUACACAAUGUACACUGGAACCACUGCUCCAAACUACAGUUCAGCUACUUGAAACUGAAGAUACACAGUUUUCUGAAAUAGGUUAAGGGCAUCGAGUUGAACAGAAUUGCAGAUCAACCAAAAAAAUAAUACAUACAAGCAAAAAAACAGAUGGCCUCAAAUACCAUACCACAUGACAUAUUUUAACCUAUUUCUUACAAUUAUAAAAACUAGACAGUUCUUUGUAUUAGAUAUCACAUUCAAAUUUUCUUUUUCACAGUUAUGACCCGCAUUUAUCUAUACAAGUCAUCAACAGACAAACUUACAUCAUAGGAAAAUAUUUUAUGAAUCUUAAAGGAGCAUCAAAAUUUCCAUUAGGCUGAAAAACACAAUCUUAAAACACAGUAAGUUUCUUCAUAGAUGAAUAAAUUCAACACAAACCACAAUAGCAUAUGAACCAUUACUAGUGCGAUCUAACAUUCUCACGAGCUAUUAUUAGGUUUCGAUAUGCAUACAGAAGAAUAAUUAGUGAUCAAAAAUUGAAAUUGCAUUCCGAUCAACAAGUUUCGGUACAUUGUAAAAUCAUAAUCAGCUUCGACAGGGCACUAAGAUGCAUUUGUAUCCUAUAAAUGACAAACUUAAACGUAUCAAUUGUGACGAAUCAAAGUUUAGUAACAUAAUAAACUUUUGCCUAUAGUUUAAGUGUUUAACAAUGAAUGGUGAAAUCCACUGGCAAUGACAAGUACUAAUUUUCAACACAAGCCAGCUGAUCUUACUAAACACGAACUACACAGAACGAAUAUGUAAGAAAAAAAACUAGCAGGAAAAAUUAACAAAAACAUGGAAGGACCAAAGCGAAAAAUCUCACCUUGGUACCCUGAGUCCUCGAGACUAGGGUUUUCCCGACGUUCCUCACGUUGAACACGGAGGGCGCCUUGAUGUCGUACCAAUCCUUCUUCGAGAACGGAUCAACACUAUAGUACACCAAACGAAUCAAAACCCACGCGAAUCUAAAGCGAUUUGAGGCGAAAAUAGAACAAAAAGGAGAUCGAUUAGGGGUUUAAGAGAUUACGUCUUCUUCUUCCCACCCUUCUUGCCCUUGGAGAUCCUCUUGUUCUUCCUGAAACCGACCGCGAACACGAAAGAGAGCGAAAGAGAGAUCAAUCGACGGAGAACAAAAUGGAGAUCAAGUAAGAGUAAAAUUGGGGGAAAAUGGGGGAAUAAUGAGCUAACCCAACCGCCAUGAUCGCUGCUACGCUCAAAGCUUUUGCGGCGCCUCGCGCGAGGGGUUCGGUGAUUUCGCGAGGGAGGAGGACGAAACGGUUGCCCUAGAACGAGAGGGCCUUAUAUAUAUAGCUUGACCCGAACCCUCGGUUUAUUUGAUCGACGGUUGAGAUUUGCCCUUGUAGAAAGCUGAUGGAUCUAACGGUAGUGGGUGGGUGUUGGGUUGUUGAAGGGUUAAAACCCAUGGGCUUUUCAUAGCCCAUAAGAGCCCAAGCAUAAAUUGGGCUACGAAUGGAUUACUAAGGCCCAGCCCAAGUUUCUUUUUAUUAUAGAUUUAAUUAUAAAGAUUCUAAUGUAUUAAAAAUUGCAUCAAUUAGCCACUUGUAUUUUGUUUCUGUUUUAAAAUAGGUCCAAAUUUUUGGAAUGAUCCGCGAAUUAGAUUGUAAAACUUCGAUACAACGAGUUGGUAUAUCACAUUGUUCCACAUCUCUGCUUCUAUUUAGUUUGCAACCCAAAAAACAAAUUAAAAAUAAUUAUAAUUUAUCGAAUAAUUUAUCCAAUUUAUUUGAUUCUAUUGCAUUAAUUAUUAUUAACUUAUUUCCUAAUUUGUUUUUAUAAAUUUUUACAUCUAAAUUCAACAAUUAUUCUGAAGCUGUGGACUUGUUUAAAAUAAUGAUAAAGUGAAGGAGAGUAACUAACUCAAUUUUUAAUAUAGAAAAAUAAUUGAGACAGGGACUAAAGUACUAGAGAGUUUUUUUUUUGAAAUAAUUUAGUGUUGUUUAUAUCUGAGCUAUUUUUAAUUCGGCUUGGCCCGAUUAUUUUUAGAGAGGCCCAGGCUCAAAAAUAGGAAUAAAAAGUUGAAGAAAAUAUUUGAUAAAUAAUAUAUAUAUUAUUUAUAAUGUUAAAUUAUAUAUAUAAUAAUUAUGUAAAAUAAUACACACUACAUAUUUUUACUUAUAGUAUAUAAUUGUAAUAUAAUAUUAUUUAUAAUAUAUCCUCCAUAUUUAUAUUAUAUUGUCAUAUAAAUUAAUAUAUAUUCUUAAUAAUACUAUAUACUACAUAUAUCAUUUAUUCUUUAUAUGGACAGAUAUAUAUGUAAAACUAAUUUUUUUUUUUUUUUUGGUAAAAAUGUACGGCACGUAUUUGUUCUAUGGACCAUUUUAAGUAGAUUAUUUAAUUUCUUAAUUUCUUAAGUAGAUUAUUUAAUNCAGGCUUUCGGGUCGGGCUCCGGUCGAAGGGCUUUCGGGUCGGGCUCGGGCCGGGCUUGGACAUGUUUAGAUAGGUCCAAAAAAUUCCCAGACAUAGUGUUAUAAUUUUGAUACCCAAAACCCGACCCAUUAGGCCCCAGGCCCAGUCCACCCCUAGGAACAGUCCCUAAGGCUUGCCCUACUAGCCAUUAACAUGGCUUUGUUAUAUUUAGAAGCUGGACAAUAAGAUUGAUUAGUUUCUAGCACAAGGGCAUACAAAAAUUUGUUUCUCCUAAAUAAUAACACAUAGUAACAUUUUUAACAUUUUGUGAAAUUUUGUAAAAUAUUUAAAUUAAAAGGUAAAGCACUAGAAAUAAACUUUUUGUAAAAAUUAGGAUACUAACAGGCAAUUAAAUGAAUCCGAAAAAAAAAAAAAGACUAUGGAUCAUUUUGAAUCAGUUAUUCAUUCUUUCAAAAUUUUGAUAUUACUGCCCAAGCUUUCUAUUUGUUUGAUUUGAAUCGGUCAUUAGCAUUUUGAUUUCCAAAUUUAACCUGAUUGCUUACUAUAAUAAAUUUAUAAUUAUAAAGAUUGUAUAAAUUAUACUAAUUAAUUUGAAAGAUAAACGGCACAGACAAAAUUUAAAGUCAAAAAACCGGUUUUUUUUCUAGGGAAAUGGCCCGAGAGCGAAAAUUUAUUUAAAUAAAAUGAGGCGAUACAGAAAUUAAAAAAAAAAAUCCUCAAAAGAGGACCACAUGGUGCAUUUUUUGUUAGACAGAUCCCAAUUGACUAGUUGAUCAGCUUGCAUAGCAUUCCUAAAGAAGUGAGAAUUCCAUCCAAAAGAAAAGACGUGACAUGCGUCGACGAAGGACUGAAGCGUUUUGAGCUUUAUUCAAAAAAUCGUUGACUAACAUAAAUUGAACAAAUUAAAAAACUGAUAGUAAUUUAAAAUUUUGAAAGAUUGAAUAGUUGAUUCAAAACGGUUCACGUUCUGAUAAGUCAUAUACUUUUUUAUCACCAAAAUAAUUCUCUCUCUCAAGGAUUGCUUCAUUGCACAUCUAGGAGCUACAGCGCAUGGUGUUGACUCUUUUGGGUAAUUCCCAGUUGGUGUACUACAACUUGUUUGUUUCUAGAAGAUCAAAGACACUCUGUGUUAUUAAUUUCUUCACAUAAUUAAAAGCUUUUUGCGUCGUCUAUACGGUUUAAAUGCAGCUUAAUUCCCCAGCGUGAAUCAUAUUUUGUUGUUAGCCGCGCUAAUAAAUGUCAAACUACUCUUCUCUCUGAUGUCAAGGACUUUGACUUUUAAUAGAAAAAGUCUUAAAUAUGACAAUCAUAUGAGUGAUGUGGUGUCUCCAAUUAAUCAAUUAUUUUCUUAAAAUUUAUCCUUCCCAUCAUAAAUUUUAGAAAAAUAUUUUUAUUAUGCUUUUUCUCUGGAAAAAAAUAAUGUAAUUAACUGGAAAUAGAUAAUGUGUAGUGUUGGCUUAAAUGGGCCAGCAUUCUACCCUAUGGCGGAAGGUCAUGUUGGGUCCAGUCAUGUUCGAAAUGACGUGAGGCUGGGUGAGCUGAGUCAUGUUCGAAGUGGCGUGAGGCUAGUUGGACCGAGUCACAAUCGAGACCCGUGGGCGCUGUAUCUAUACGCUUUAAGUGAAUUGGUUGCGUGUUUCUAACAGUUCGAGCUUUUGGAAUUAAUGGUUAGCUCCAACGAUCCAACAUGUAGCUGCUAUCCUUUUAAUAAGAUUAUAGGAGUACUGCAAAAUUAAGUAUGGGAUGUAUCAACCUCAGCGACUUUACCAUGGGGGUAAGUAUUAUUCGGUGUAAACUGAAUUGGGGGCUUAUUUUUAAACUAUUAAAUUCAAUUAUUUUGAUAAGUUAAUUGGAUAUGAUUUUGUAAAUAAAAGUUCAAAAAAGUUGAAGGAAUUGAAUCAGCAAAAUUUCAGUAUUUUGAGAUACAGUCCAUUUUUGGAUGAUGAUCAAUAAUUGGACUUUGUAACAAUCAACAUUCAGGAAUAAAAAAUUUAGAGUCAUAUUAAUAUAUUAAUAUUGAUAAGUACGUGUUAUAGUUUAAUAUGUUAGUCUUAAUGAAAUUUAUUAUUCAAAUCGAAUUAUAAUUUUUUUGAAUUGGUUUUGUUGGGUUCGUCGUCUUAGUUCGGUUUGAUUUAGUUACGUGAAAAAAGAAAAUUUGCAUUUAAAAUAAAGGGUAAAAAUACAUGGAGUACUUAAUUAAUGAGAUAUAUAUAUUUAUGAUAUUGAGACUUAGUUCCUCAAAUUUGAGUUAAACAUGUUAGAAGUUUCUAUAUUUUGUAAUUUCAUUCCUAACUGUAAAAGAAAAAAAGAAAACAAAAUUUCUUAUAAUAUGCAUAUUUUACUCCCUUUUGCGAAAAAUGUUUUUCUUUUGUUUUUUUGCCUGGUAAGUAAUUAAAGAAGUAAAAUGAUCAAAUUGAUCAGAUUUAUAUGAGACAAUUAGUAAGUUUUAUCUACCAGGGAUUAAAUUAAUUGCAUGCAAGCAAAUGAGAAAGUUUUUAGGGACUAAAUUUGUUAUGUGAAAAAUUCAAGAAUAAUUAAAUUGCAAUAUUUGGAUAGUUUAGGUACAAAACCUGCAAUAUUUUACCGCAAAAUGAAAAGUUACAAAACCAUCCCUUAAUAUUAUUCAUGAUGUCCUUAAUUUGCAUUAUAUGGAGUCCUAUAUAUGUGGGAGUUUGUUGCUUAAUUCAUUUAAAGAUCUUUAAUUUGUAUAAUCUAGAAGCUAGUUGGCUUAAGCACAGCCAUAUAACCUCUUUUUUUGUUUUCUUUUUUUUCUUUUUUUCUCCCAACAACUAAGUGGGAUUGGAACUCCAUGAUUAUUUUUAUGACUAUUAUUUGAAAUUUAUUAUGCUACAUUUCAUUUUAACCAAUGAGCAGUAAUUAUGCAGUGGCUAUGAAAAACAUGUAUGUUUAUUCAGUAUCUACUGAACCAACAAAAAUUAAGAUUCUAGAUUCUACAAGCAAUUCUUUCUCAAAUUUUCCCUUUUUCUUUUACUUCACACCUGUCUUUGCUGGACUGAUUCAGAUCUUUAAAGGUAAAUAAAAAAAAAAAAUCAGCAAAAAACCAUAGAAUUAAUGGUCUAAUAAGAGAAUUUUUACAAUUAACAAACAUGUAAAAUAUUUUGGAACAUAUAUUGGGGAAACCACACCAAUUGAGGAGUGCAAUUAACAAAACUUCAUAAACAAAAAUUAAUGCACAGCAAAUUAAUGCUCUUGAGGUUGAUCCUCACUCAAACCCAACUUGUGAAAAGCUUGUAAUUUACAUCAUUAACAUAAUAACAACUAAAAGGGGGGAAAUAAAAAGUGGAAAAAGAUGAAGAACCAAAAUUUAAGUUAUAGACAUUAAUUAAUUAAUAACCUAACCUCUCUUUCCAUGAGUAGCAUGAGCUGAUCUUGGAGAUGUUAAUGCAUUAUUAUUAUUAUUAUUACUACUAGUAUUAAUCCCCUUGGCACUCACCCUCCUCCCAUAAUCCUUCGUCUUCAUGGAUCUCCUAUUUUGCCCCUCCUCCUCCCCCUUCAAAGUGGGCACCAAAUACCACCAUAUUGAGGUGCAACAUAUAGCAAACACCCUCCCAAACACCAUUAAACACGCCAAUAUUAUCACCAUCACCACAACCCAAUUGUAUCCCCUCCUCUUGUUGUUGUUUCUGUUGUUGUCGCUUCCCCACGAAAAGCUCUUCUUCACCGCCUUCUGCGCCGUCGCCCCUCUCGCCUCCUUCGGGGCUUCUGGCAGCUGCCGCGCGGGCGGCUGCGAGUCCGCUGCCAGCCGCAUGUUCGUACUUGCGGGAUGCUGAUUUUCCUUCGUUGGAGGAUCGCGCAGGCGGACGACGAUCGGGACCCAGUCGUGCGAGUUCGAGUGCAUGAACCGAACCAGGGCGACGCUCUGCGGCCGCGCGGACGCCAUGAUCUUCUCCCUCCGGGCCUCGAGCUCCGACAGCACCGACGAGAACUUGUCGAGCCCCCGCCCCGAAUACGGGUUCUUGCCCGCCUUCCUCUUCGGCCCCUUCGGCGACGCCGACGACGCUGACAACGCUCUUGACAGGGUUUUGCAUGGCUGGUCGUCGCAGCCGUUGUCGUCCUCGGCCAUUCGCUUGAUGCUCCCCGCGCCGCAGAACAUGCCGUGAGAACACAUGCUGAUUGUUUGUGGAUUGUGAUUCAUGCAAAGUGAACAUAAGAAGAAGCUAUACUCUCUCUCUCUCUCUCUCUCUCUCUCUCUCUCUCUCUCUCUCUCGGUCAAAUAGAGAUAGGGAUGUAGUUAAUAAGGCUAGGGUUUUAAUUAAUUAAUAUAAAAAUUUGUAAACAUAUAUAUAUGUUUAAUUUGACUCGGUUGGGGUUUGGAUUGUGUAUGAAUUGGUCUAGGAAAACGAAUCCUUAUCUAACUCGGCGUAGGUAAAAAUAAAAAUAAAAAUAAUAUUUUACCGUUAGAAUUCAAAUUGUCAAACCUAUGGAAAAUUACAGGGUGAGGUGUCCUUUGGUAGACUCGAGUACAGUUUUGCGUGGACCUGGUGCGCCACGUCAUCCGUAGACCGUGUUUAUAGAUUUCAGUGUUUAUGAAAAUUUUAAAUUUAAUUUUUUAAUAAAAAAUAAAAUGUAUAGAGCCCCCACCCACCAAAAAAUAAAUCAUUUUGAAACGGCUUCAGAUUUUUUUUUCCUUUAUUGACACUUCUUAAUACUUAUUAUUAUUAUUAUUAUUAUUAUUAUUAUUUUAAAUAGAGUAAAUUGCAUGUUUGGUCCUCAAAAAAUAGGCGGCACUCUGAUUCUUAAACUUUAAUUUAUUAUUAUUUUUUGUUCGAACUUUCAGAACUAUUAUAAUAAAGUCUUAUAACAUAAUUUAGCUGAUCAAAUAUUAAUGCAUAAUUAAUUUGAAAAUAAUAUUAUAGCAUUGUAAUUAGUGAUGCACCGAUAACGAAAGUACUAUAUUAUUUUUAUAUUAGUGAAACGUUAAUAUUUAGUCAACUAAAUUGAUUGUGAGACUUGAUUAUAAUAAUUUUAAAAAUUUAAGCCAGAAAUUACAACAAAUUAAAAUUUGAGGCUCAAAGUGUCACCACAUAUCUCAUACUUUGAGAACCAACUGUGCAAUUUACCAAAAAAAAAAAAAAAUACUUGGUUGAGUAGAGUGUAAGAUCCACAUCUAUUCUGCUGAUGUGUAUAAGUAAUUGUGCUCUUCUCAUUAAAGUAUGUAAACUAUACCGGCUCUGUGAACAUUAUGUACUUUGUUUUUGCACCUAACUAGAUCUUACAAUUUGUGGACAAUCACAUCAAUAACAAGCUUAGAGUAAUAUUGGUAGGUUUGGGUAGGUCUAGGUUAAACAGGGGUGAACAAAUAAUCCUUUUCCCAUCUUCUCCUUUUGUUAUGAUUUUAGGUUCUCUUUCUAAUUCAUAUUGUUGGGUUUUGCUGGUUUUUAUGUAUUUUCUCUAUGAUGUUAUAGUUGAGAAUCUUCUUUGUAACGACUGUUAUCUCAAUAAUCAAUUUGAAAAAAUAAAAAACUCGGAAAUAAUUUUAACAAUCUUGUGCAAGCAUAGAUAAAUAUGAAGCAAAGGGUUCGAGCCCCAAAUUACACGCAUACAGAAUCUCAAAUCGCCGAUCUUAGACUGGGCUAGAAACCUUCUGAAAUGUAAAAAAUUUGAUACUAGUUUUAAUUUCAUGUUAUCCAAAAGAUCAAUUCGAUAGAUCACGUAAAUUCUCCCAAGUUUUAAACCUUGGGAGAAAUUAUGUAAAUUUAUUUUUUGAUGUCGUAAUUAAAAUGUCCAACUAAAAUCAAUUAAAUGAUCGGCUCAACUCAGAUCCAUUUCAACUCUUAAUUUGCCGUGAGUUGGAUAGAUAAGAAGUUAAAAGUUGCAUUAAUUUCUAAUUCGUAUACUAGUAUUUAGUACUUGGCAUUUAAAAAUGGAGUAAGGCGAAAAUACUUCGUUUACUCCGGCGUUAUUUCUAAUAAUAAGAUAUCUGAAUUGACAUUGGUAUUGUUAAAAUAUAAUUUAAACUAUUUAAAUUUUGUAAAGCCCAAAUUUUAUGACUUUUUGAUCUCAAAUUUACAUUAUAUCAGUCAUUGAAAAUGAUCAAUUUUAUAACCAUAUAAAUAUCAGCCAAAUAAUAUGAAAAAAUUUAUAAAAUUUAAAAAUUUAAAUAAUUUAGAUUAAGUUUGAUAAUGCUGAUGAUCGAUUUGAUGUCGCAUUAUCAUAUAAUGGAGCGGAAGUGAAUAACUCGAUUUUCUUUUAGAAAUAUUUAGUUUUACUCUUUUAAAGGCCUGUGAGAAAUACACAAGCUAUAUAUUUCGUCAUUUUUUUAAAAAAAUAAACAUAGCUAAAAAGUAUAAAGGGGAACUUGGGCUUUACGUGUUGAGAAUUCGGAACUCGUCCCGGUACCGAAUUUUGAGAAUUCGUAAUCCGCUUCGAUACUGACUAUUGUGAAUUCGAUACUGAUUGAUGGGAUUCUGCAACGGAAGUGUCAAAUCAAAUUUUUACAAUAAAUUCGUCUCUUCAGCAGAAGCUGAUACAAUCAUAAAAGAGAAAAAAAAUCAAAACAGAAAAUAUGCGGGUAAAAUAAGAUUUAUUAAAUAAGAAAAAAUUACACCUAACUCCUUUUCUAUAUAGAGUAGCUACAAUCCGAGCCCUCUUUCUGAAUCUCUCCUACUGUUCUCUCGUCCUCUAUAAACCCACAAAGAGAACAACUCUUCACGUACACCCGUAUACUAGGUGCACUCAACCAUGACUUUCUCUUUUCUAGAACGGUUUCACCUAAGAAAGCGUUCUCUCUCACCGUACUCUCUACUCCAAAAGCAUCCCAAAGAAUUAAUGCUUUUACAAUACAUCCUUUAAAACGUAUGCGAAUUCUAGUCUAAUUAGGAUUGCUACUUUAAUAAAUAUUUAGAUUAAUUUUAGUUGGAUAAGAAUUAAUAUUUAAAUCUGUUAGAAAUAAAUUAAGAUUUAAAUAUUAAUUAGAGUAUAAAUCUAACUAGAUAGACCAUGAAUCUAAGUAGAUGAAGAUAAAUAUUUAAAUCUAAAUCUAACUAGAUAGAGCAUGAAUCUAAGUAGAUGAAGAUAAAUAUUUAAAUCUAAUUAAUAUUUAAAUCUUAAUUUAUCUCCAACAGAUUUAAAUAUUAAUUCUUAUUCAACUAGAAUUAAUCUAUAAGUCUAACCAAAUCUUAACAUUAAGGCCCUAUCUAAAACACUAAUAAAUGGAUGUUAUCCCCCCCCUCCCUCUCUCUCUCUCUCUCUCUCUCUCUCUCUCUCUCUAUAUAUAUAUAUAUAUAGAGAAAGAGAAAGCUAGGCUGGAAUACUAUCAAUAGUACCAAGCUAUUGGUGCUGUUAGAUUUUCGGUCAUUGGAUGAAAAUUUGUACGGUUAGAAUGAUAGCGCCACCUAGGGUUGAGUGAGUUAUUGGUUUAAUAGUAUAAUUUAACGGGUGAAAAUAGUCAAAAGAUUAAAUCUAACGGUGAAAAACUUGAUAGUACCAAACACUUGGUACUAUCGAUAGUAUCUCAGCCGGACUCUAUAUAUAUAUAUAUAUAUAUAUAGAGAGAGAGAGAGAGAGAGAGAGAUAUAUAUAUAGAGCUGAGCUAGAAUACUAUCGGUAGUAAACGAGCCGUUUUACUACCGAUUUGUUUUCGAUGAUAGAACUUCCAAAUUGACGAUCGGCUCCGUUGAACAUGAUCUAUACCACUUGAAGUGUUUAGAAAUCAAAUUUUAAAUAUUUUCGACAUCAUUUGCCUAAUGAUCAAAGGGUUUCAAAAUUUGUAAUUUUAAUGGUCGAUAAGAGGCGUUUUCUCGUUUAACGGCGUAAAGAUAUCCAAAUCAAUUGAAUUUUUGUUAGAAAAUUCUUUAAACUAUUUAAAAUAAGAUCUAUAUUCUUGAUCUUGAUUACAAGACUCCUAUCAUCAUUUUUUAAAGAGUAUUCAUUUUCAGUCAUUCAUUAGGAUAAAAGAACAAUAUCGAAAGUGCGUGAAAUUUGAUUUCUAGAUAGUUUAAAUGGUUUAGAUCACCACUAUCAUCGAAAACAAAUCGGUAGUAAAACGGCUCGUUUACUACCGAUAGUAUUCUAGCUCAACUCUAUUGUCACGACCCGACACCGCCAAUUUGGACAGUUCGGGCCCAAACAGACCCGCCGAACGGACAGAGUUUCCCCUGCUCGCCCGAAGCGUAACAAAGUCUAUGCAUACAUAUCCAACAAGAGAUGUUAUAGCAUUGAACAUUGAGAGAGGCAAUCACAGAUACAAGAGAAUUUAAACUAUCUAUUACUUCACUUGUUUACACACAAAAACCAUUACAUAUUUCACUUGAUUUCUCAUACAUACAACCAAAAUGCCAUCCCUCAAAUACAUUACAUUUCUUUACAAAAGGGUUUUACAUAUCAUUCUUUUUUUUUUUUACUCGAGGGUAGUGAGCUAAUGCCGGUGAUCCACUCUAUCUAUUGUGCGACGCCCUUGCCGCGAUCCUCGACACACGCGCUNUAUUUAAAACAAGAUCUAUACUCUUGAUCUUGAUUAUAAGACUUCUAUCAUCAUUUUUUAAAGAAUAUUCAUUUUCAGCCAUUCAUUUUUCUGUUCACUUGAUGGAUAAAAGAAUAAUAUCGAAAGUGCGUGAAAUUUGAUUUCUAGGUAGUUUAAAUGGUUUAUAUCAUAUUUAACGAAGCCGAUCGUCGAUUUGGAAGCUCUAUCAUCGAAAAUAAAUAGGUAGUAAAAUGGCUCGUUUACUACUGAUAGUAUUCUAGCUCAACACUCUCUCUCUCUCUCUAUAUAUAUAUAUAAAUAAAGACACCCACUAAUAGAUGUAAACCGUUCAAAACAAACUUAAUAGAUAACCGGCAAAUUCGCUUUGUCGCCAUUCUAGUCAUGUGGUGAUGGCUCUUUUAUUUUUAUUUUCUUUUUCUUUUUUUCUUUUUCUUUUUUUGGUUCCAAAGUCGUUCGAAUCAACGUUUCUAGAAGCCAAUUGCGUCGUCAUAUCAUUUCGAGGAUAAAGUCGUGGGAAUAAAUUAUUACAAUGAUUGUACUUUCCACUUCUCAAAUGUGGUUAUUGCUGAGAUUUUUUUUUUCUUUUUGGAUAAAUAGUAAUUUUGGAUCAUAUAUGAUGAUAUAUGAUUAUUACGCAUGAAGAGCUAGGCGCAAAUUAAACUAACACCAUGAAAAUAUUUUUGAACAAAAAAUAAAACAAGCUAGAUUACUUUGGUUCUCCUUAAAGUUUCUAUGACAAAUAUUUAUACAAGUUUCAAAUUCACAAGAUCAACACAAUUGUUGUCGAAUACAAAUACGAAUUAUGAACCUAAAUCACCAUCCUUGUAUUUUCUACUGAAUUUUAUUUUUUCCUCUUUUUUUUUUUGUAAUUAAUAUGACAUCAGAACUGAUUCUAAAAUCUCUUAAUUCUCCAAAGACGCAAGUUCAUUGAAUAAUUAAUUUUUUAUUAUAUAUACUUACAUCUUUCUCUUCUUUUUUUUUCAUCUAUAAUCACACAAAUAUUGAAAAACAACUUUUAAUUUCUUCAAUAACUACAGCAGUUGAUGGCCUUUAUCGAUGAAUAUUCUCGACAAAAGUUUUUUCUUUAAAAAAAAAAAAAACAAAGAAGAAAAAAAACAUUCUUAGCCUGAAGAAAUUGAAGCCGUAAAUUUUGAAUUAGAAGUGGAUGUGAAUUUUCGAGAGAUAUUACAAAGAUGAAGUGUUAUUAUCAGUUUAAUUAGAGUACGGAGUUAGAUAUCAUUUUUGUAUGUAAGAGAAGUGGUUCAAAGCACCAUAAAAAUGUUUUUGUGCUGAAUUUUUUUUUCUUCUAGAAAACAAUUUUACAUAUUAAAAAAAGAACAAAUGUUUUGAUUUUCCAUUUUUGAAAAACUAAAUAAUAAAAAUUAAAGAACUUUUUCUUUUUUAACGCACUCCCAUCACCUCUUUUUCUAUUUUCCCUUUACUCCAAACCAAACUCUAAUAAAUAUAAAUUUUAUUUACUAUAUAAACCAAAAUUUUCAUUUUCACAAAAAUAUAUAUUUUUACUUUAAAAAUCAUUUACAAGUAGUUAUCAUUCGAGUGUGUCGUUGAAAAUUUGAUACUGAGGAUGUGCGUUUAAAAAAAAUGUGAGUCACCGUCGUAAUUACCUAUGUUUCUAAAAUUAUAUAUGAAAUUAUAUAACCGUUACGUCCCUAGCAUGACAGUUACUGAAACUGAAAUAAAAACAAGGGGAAACUUUAAAUACCCCCAUGUGGUUUCACACUUUCUCACUUUAAUACCCUGUGGUUUAAAGUGUAUCAAGUUAGUACCAUGUGGUUUUGCACUUUCUCACUUUAGUAUCCUAUGGUUUCAAGUGUAUCAAGUUAGUACCAUGUGGUUUCGCACUUUCUCACUUUAGUACCAUGUGGUUUAAUAUUUCGUUAAAUUAUAUACCCCGAAUGUAUAAUAAAAAGAAAAAAUUGAAACCACAGGGUACUAACUUGAUACAAAAGUGAAACCACAGGGUACUAGCUUGAUACACUUGAAACCACAUGGUACUAAAGUGAGAAAUUGCGAAACCACAGGAUACUAACUUGAUACACUUUAAAUCACAUGGUACUAAAGUGAGAAAGUGCGAAAUCACAGUUUCCCCUAAAAA